RNAcentral lists this long non-coding RNA (227 nucleotides) under Elaeis guineensis (African oil palm). RNAcentral's name for it is "long non-coding RNA (EGUI_LNC054890)". The record is from RNAcentral. Lineage: Eukaryota; Viridiplantae; Streptophyta; Magnoliopsida; Arecales; Arecaceae.
UAGGUUAACAUGAAAUUGAUCACUCUUAGUAAGAGAAGAUCGUAUACUGUGUAUUCUCAUCCCUAGAUGACUCAGAAAAAUUUUUUUGGCCAAAAGUAGGAAGAAUAUUAGAAAGAGUUUUUAAUGAUUCAUCAUCGGAGUCAUCAUUGGUUAAAUCAAAAAUUGAUAUGAAUAUAUGUUUGAGCUUGAUAUAAUUCAAUACUCAUGAACAUAUUCAGGAUGCAGGG